This 78-nucleotide microRNA precursor is filed under the name Schistosoma margrebowiei. RNAcentral describes it as "mir-3492 microRNA precursor family". It matches the Rfam family "mir-3492 microRNA precursor family". Lineage: Eukaryota; Metazoa; Platyhelminthes; Trematoda; Strigeidida; Schistosomatidae. The record is from Rfam by way of RNAcentral.
AUCAUUCUGUAUCCGUUCUGAGAUUUCGACACACACCAGACCACAAGGGCUGAUGAAACUCUCGAGAUAAGUGAAGUU